CCGAAUGGGGAAACCCAGUGUGUUUCGACACACUAUCAUUAACUGAAUCCAUAGGUUAAUGAGGCGAACCGGGGGAACUGAAACAUCUAAGUACCCCGAGGAAAAGAAAUCAACCGAGAUUCCCCCAGUAGCGGCGAGCGAACGGGGAGCAGCCCAGAGCCUGAAUCAGUGUGUGUGUUAGUGGAAGCGUCUGGAAAGGCGCGCGAUACAGGGUGACAGCCCCGUACACAAAAAUGCACAUGCUGUGAGCUCGAUGAGUAGGGCGGGACACGUGGUAUCCUGUCUGAAUAUGGGGGGACCAUCCUCCAAGGCUAAAUACUCCUGACUGACCGAUAGUGAACCAGUACCGUGAGGGAAAGGCGAAAAGAACCCCGGCGAGGGGAGUGAAAAAGAACCUGAAACCGUGUACGUACAAGCAGUGGGAGCACGCUUCGGCGUGUGACUGCGUACCUUUUGUAUAAUGGGUCAGCGACUUAUAUUCUGUAGCAAGGUUAACCGAAUAGGGGAGCCGAAGGGAAACCGAGUCUUAACUGGGCGUUAAGUUGCAGGGUAUAGACCCGAAACCCGGUGAUCUAGCCAUGGGCAGGUUGAAGGUUGGGUAACACUAACUGGAGGACCGAACCGACUAAUGUUGAAAAAUUAGCGGAUGACUUGUGGCUGGGGGUGAAAGGCCAAUCAAACCGGGAGAUAGCUGGUUCUCCCCGAAAGCUAUUUAGGUAGCGCCUCGUGAAUUCAUCUCCGGGGGUAGAGCACUGUUUCGGCAAGGGGGUCAUCCCGACUUACCAACCCGAUGCAAACUGCGAAUACCGGAGAAUGUUAUCACGGGAGACACACGGCGGGUGCUAACGUCCGUCGUGAAGAGGGAAACAACCCAGACCGCCAGCUAAGGUCCCAAAGUCAUGGUUAAGUGGGAAACGAUGUGGGAAGGCCCAGACAGCCAGGAUGUUGGCUUAGAAGCAGCCAUCAUUUAAAGAAAGCGUAAUAGCUCACUGGUCGAGUCGGCCUGCGCGGAAGAUGUAACGGGGCUAAACCAUG
RNAcentral lists this ribosomal RNA (1035 nucleotides) under Escherichia coli. RNAcentral's name for it is "partial 23S ribosomal RNA". It matches the Rfam family "Bacterial large subunit ribosomal RNA", at positions 114 to 1191 of the family's 2925-position model. The record is from RNAcentral. Lineage: Bacteria; Pseudomonadati; Pseudomonadota; Gammaproteobacteria; Enterobacterales; Enterobacteriaceae.